Molecule: ribosomal RNA, 253 nt
Filed under: uncultured bacterium
Lineage: Bacteria
Description: partial 16S ribosomal RNA
Rfam family: Bacterial small subunit ribosomal RNA
Source: RNAcentral
UACGUAGGGUGCAAGCGUUGUCCGGAAUUAUUGGGCGUAAAGAGCGUGUAGGCGGCCCGAUUAGUCCGCUGUGAAAGUCCAGGGCUCAACCCUGGAAUGCCGGUGGAUACUGUCGGGCUAGAGUCCGGAAGGGGCGAGUGGAAUUCCUGGUGUAGCGGUGAAAUGCGCAGAUAUCAGGAGGAACACCGAUGGCGAAGGCAGGUCACUGGGCCGCAACUGACGCUGAGGAGCGAAAGCAUGGGGAGCGAACAGG